GUACGAGGACUAUAUGGCUGUGACAUCUAUCACCCCACAGUGGUUAGGCUGAUGAGUCCAGCUGAGAAGGCAUCUCUUUCUCCCACCCUGUUCCUUGUGCGCUCCUCCUAAAGCAUCACAGUAGCUCAAAAAGGAUGCUAUUCCCAAAUGGAGGAGAAUCUGUCUUCAGCCAAAGGUAUAUGAGAAACUGCACUCCCCCGGUAGUACCCCCAAGCAAGCUCUCAAAUAUUUAAAACUCAGAGAUUCCUGUGAUACCCUUUUAUGGCACACAGAGCUACAAUUUAGGGUUU
Molecule: small nuclear RNA, 290 nt
Filed under: Meriones unguiculatus (Mongolian gerbil)
Lineage: Eukaryota; Metazoa; Chordata; Mammalia; Rodentia; Muridae
Description: 7SK RNA (ENSMUGG00000001744.1)
Rfam family: 7SK RNA
About the family: 7SK was discovered as an abundant small nuclear RNA in the mid-70s but a possible function has only recently been suggested. Two independent studies have found that 7SK RNA binds the CDK9/cyclin T complex (known as elongation factor P-TEFb).
Source: RNAcentral